Molecule: transfer RNA, 68 nt
Filed under: Caecilia tentaculata
Lineage: Eukaryota; Metazoa; Chordata; Amphibia; Gymnophiona; Caeciliidae
Description: tRNA-His
Rfam family: tRNA
About the family: Transfer RNA (tRNA) molecules are approximately 80 nucleotides in length. Their secondary structure includes four short double-helical elements and three loops (D, anti-codon, and T loops). Further hydrogen bonds mediate the characteristic L-shaped molecular structure. tRNAs have two regions of fundamental functional importance: the anti-codon, which is responsible for specific mRNA codon recognition, and the 3' end, to which the tRNAs corresponding amino acid is attached (by aminoacyl-tRNA synthetases). tRNAs cope with the degeneracy of the genetic code in two manners: having more than one tRNA (with a specific anti-codon) for a particular amino acid; and 'wobble' base-pairing, i.e. permitting non-standard base-pairing at the 3rd anti-codon position.
Source: RNAcentral
GUAAAUAUAGUUUAAAAAAACCAUUAGAUUGUGAUUCUAAAAUUAAAGAACAAACCCUUUUAUUUACC